GGUAUAGGUUGGCGAAGAAUGAAAUCUCAAGACCCAACCUGGACCAACUGAGGCGAAAGCGGUGCUCUUGUACGCGUCUGUGGAUCAAGGACGAAGGCUAGAGGAUCGAAAGUGAUUAGACACCGCUGUAGUUCUAGCAGUAAACUAUGCCGACAUUCUCUGUUGUUGAGACGGGGAGGGGAGAAAUCUUAGUUUUCGGGCUCUGGGGAUAGUACGCUUGCAAGAGUGAAACUUAAAGCGAAAUUGACGGAAGAUCACCACAAGGAGUGGAUUGUACUGCUUAAUUUGACUCAACACGGGAAAACUUACCAGGGCCAAGUCUCUCGUAGAUUGGCGACAUGAGAGGGGCAAGAGUGGUGCAUGGCCGUUGGAAAUUGAUGGGAUGACCUUUAGCUUAAGUGCUGUAACCAGUGAGAUCUUCUAGACAGGUGUCUUACUGACACAGGAAGGAGAAGGCUAUAACAGGUCCGUGAUGCCCUCAGAUGCCCUGGGCCGCAAGUGCAAUACAAUAUCCGUUUGAGCGACAUAAAUAUGCUUACGGAUGAGUAGGAUUAGCUCUUGUAAAUGAGCUAUGAAUGAGGAAUUCCUAGUAACUGUGUCUCAUCAAGGCACAGUGAAUGCGUCCCUGUUCUUUGUACACACCGCCCGUCACUAUUGCGGAUGGCAAUCAAGAUGAAGAGCCUAG
This 685-nucleotide ribosomal RNA is filed under the name Paranucleospora theridion. RNAcentral describes it as "SSU rRNA". It matches the Rfam family "Microsporidia small subunit ribosomal RNA", at positions 546 to 1235 of the family's 1311-position model. The record is from RNAcentral. Lineage: Eukaryota; Fungi; Microsporidia; Enterocytozoonidae.